UACGUAGGGGGCAAGCGUUGUCCGGAAUCAUUGGGCGUAAAGCGCGUGUAGGCGGUUCAGUAAGUCUGCUGUGAAAGUCCAGGCUCAACCCUGGGAUGCCGGUGGAUACUGCUGGGCUAGAGUACGGAAGAGGCGAGUGGAAUUCCCGGUGUAGCGGUGAAAUGCGCAGAUAUCGGGAGGAACACCGGUGGCGAAGGCGGGUCUCUGGGCCGAAAUUGACGCUGAGGAGCGAAAGCGUGGGGAGCAAACAGG
RNAcentral lists this ribosomal RNA (252 nucleotides) under uncultured bacterium. Its description in RNAcentral is "partial 16S ribosomal RNA". It matches the Rfam family "Bacterial small subunit ribosomal RNA", at positions 524 to 776 of the family's 1533-position model. The record is from RNAcentral.